AUGGCCGAAUGCUUCAAUAGGGUGCUCAAAGGUGCACGUGGAUUACCCGUGACGGCAAUAGUUCAAUACACAUUUGACAAGAUGAAUGCGUACUUUCUAAAGUACUCGAUGGAAACUGAUGCACAGAUAGCGGGUGAGAACCCGCACAAGUACAAGUACAAGUUCCCACCCAAGGUUGAUGAAUGGUUAGAAUUUCAAUCACGAAAGGCGGACUCGGAAGAAGCUAUAUUAUAUGACAAUGAAGAGUGGAAGUACGAAGUGAAAGAGCCAAGAGGAACCACAAACGAUGGCCGGCAACAUGGAGGUCGGGCUUUCAAGGUGUUGUUAACGCAAUGUGAUUGCUCUUGCGGGAGGCCAUUGUUGCUUCAUCUCCCAUGCUCACACUUGUAUACCGCCGGUCGCGUUAGAAAUGUGGACAUCAAUCACCCACGCACCGUGAGGGAGUUGGAGUUCUCAAUCAUGACGGUCAAGAAAACAUGGGCUCCCCGCUUUCACCCAUACUUUGACCAAUCACAAUGGCCGGAGUACCAUGGAGUUCAACUAUGGCCGGAU
This 552-nucleotide ribosomal RNA is filed under the name Triticum aestivum (bread wheat). RNAcentral describes it as "partial small subunit ribosomal RNA". The record is from RNAcentral. Lineage: Eukaryota; Viridiplantae; Streptophyta; Magnoliopsida; Poales; Poaceae.